Molecule: unclassified non-coding RNA, 211 nt
Filed under: plant metagenome
Description: partial contains small subunit ribosomal RNA, internal transcribed spacer 1, and 5.8S ribosomal RNA
Source: RNAcentral
UUUCCGUAGGUGAACCUGCGGAAGGAUCAUUCAUAAUAAAGUGUUUUAUGGCACUUUUUAAAAAUCCAUAUCCACCUUGUGUGCAAUGUUAGAUCUCGUCAAUCUUGGCGAGAUUUUUAUACAUCAACUCAUUCUUCAACUAAUUUGUCUGAAAAAUAUUAUGAAUACUUAAUUCAAAAUACAACUUUCAACAACGGAUCUCUUGGCUCUC